CUCUUAUCGCCAGACCUUUAGUCAUUCAAGCCGCUCAUACUGAUUGGAACUGUCUUAUUGGCCAAUAUUGGAAGUGAACCGCAACUGGGGGCUCGUCACCAGCGAUAUGAUGUGCAUCAUCCAUCCCACACCUACACCCACUUUGGUAAGGCAGAAAAGGGGAGCAAUGGGUAAACCGCUCCCAAGGGCGUGAGAAAGCGAAUAUGUUACGUUCCCACUGAUUUUGCAUUCGUAUAUCGUGUAACAGCCGUGGUGUUGCCCUAUGCCCAGGAAAGUCAAGGAAAACGUUUAAAUUGAAUCUAAAUAAGUGAAAGAGCGUAUAAAAAGCAAUAUGACACCUUAAA
Long non-coding RNA from Aedes aegypti (yellow fever mosquito), 344 nucleotides. RefSeq lists it as uncharacterized. The record is from RefSeq and is a predicted model, not a curated record. The transcript is spliced from 2 exons. Lineage: Eukaryota; Metazoa; Arthropoda; Insecta; Diptera; Culicidae.